This 465-nucleotide ribosomal RNA is filed under the name Vreelandella stevensii. Its description in RNAcentral is "partial 16S ribosomal RNA". It matches the Rfam family "Bacterial small subunit ribosomal RNA", at positions 338 to 795 of the family's 1533-position model. The record is from RNAcentral. Lineage: Bacteria; Pseudomonadati; Pseudomonadota; Gammaproteobacteria; Oceanospirillales; Halomonadaceae.
CCUACGGGAGGCUGCAGUGGGGAAUAUUGGACAAUGGGGGCAACCCUGAUCCAGCCAUGCCGCGUGUGUGAAGAAGGCCCUCGGGUUGUAAAGCACUUUCAGUGAGGAAGAACGCCUGGUGGUUAAUACCCAUCAGGAAAGACAUCACUCACAGAAGAAGCACCGGCUAACUCCGUGCCAGCAGCCGCGGUAAUACGGAGGGUGCGAGCGUUAAUCGGAAUUACUGGGCGUAAAGCGCGCGUAGGUGGCUUGAUAAGCCGGUUGUGAAAGCCCCGGGCUCAACCUGGGAACGGCAUCCGGAACUGGCAAGCUAGAGUGCAGGAGAGGAAGGUAGAAUUCCCGGUGUAGCGGUGAAAUGCGUAGAGAUCGGGAGGAAUACCAGUGGCGAAGGCGGCCUUCUGGACUGACACUGACACUGAGGUGCGAAAGCGUGGGUAGCAAACAGGAUUAGAUACCCCUGUAGUC